GUGCCAGCCGCCGCGGUAAUACCGGCAGCCCGAGUGAUGGCCGAUCUUAUUGGGCCUAAAGCGUCCGUAGCUGGCCGAACAAGUCCGUCGGGAAAUCCACGUGCUUAACGCGUGGGCGACCGGCGGAAACUGUUCGGCUUGGGGCCGGAGGACCCGAGGGGUACGUCCGGGGUAGGAGUGAAAUCCUGUAAUCCUGGACGGACCGCCGGUGGCGAAAGCGCCUCGGGAAAACGGAUCCGACAGUGAGGGACGAAAGCCAGGGUCUCCAACCGGAUUAGAUACCCGAGUAGUCC
RNAcentral lists this ribosomal RNA (293 nucleotides) under uncultured bacterium. RNAcentral describes it as "partial 16S ribosomal RNA". It matches the Rfam family "Archaeal small subunit ribosomal RNA", at positions 455 to 747 of the family's 1478-position model. The record is from RNAcentral.